UUCCAGACUCCUACGGGAGGCAGCAGUGGGGAAUAUUGCACAAUGGGGGAAACCCUGAUGCAGCGACGCCGCGUGAGUGAAGAAGUAUUUCGGUAUGUAAAGCUCUAUCAGCAGGGAAGAAAAUGACGGUACCUGACUAAGAAGCCCCGGCUAACUACGUGCCAGCAGCCGCGGUAAUACGUAGGGGGCAAGCGUUAUCCGGAUUUACUGGGUGUAAAGGGAGCGUAGACGGCAUGGCAAGUCUGAAGUGAAAGCCCGGGGCUCAACCGCGGGACUGCUUUGGAAACUGUUAAGCUGGAGUGCAGGAGAGGUAAGUGGAAUUCCUAGUGUAGCGGUGAAAUGCGUAGAUAUUAGGAGGAACACCAGUGGCGAAGGCGGCUUACUGGACUGUAACUGACGUUGAGGCUCGAAAGCGUGGGGAGCAAACAGGAUUAGAUACCCUCGUACA
This 448-nucleotide ribosomal RNA is filed under the name uncultured bacterium. RNAcentral's name for it is "bacterial SSU rRNA". It matches the Rfam family "Bacterial small subunit ribosomal RNA", at positions 329 to 794 of the family's 1533-position model. The record is from RNAcentral.